GCGCACAGCUUGUGCCGUGCUGAGCUCAGCAUCCUGGCCAGCCUCCAUCCCAGCUGGAAGGAGGGGAUGAAAGCACCAGGUCACCAUGGCUUUUGUGUCGGAGCACGCUCACCCCGUGUUCUCAGAAUAGUCCCGUCCUAUCGGGCACAGGCACAGGUCGGUGUCACAGGAGCUGUGCCGCUGGUACAGGUUGUGGAAGGCGCCCUCUUCCACCUCCCAGGCUGCAUCCCUGUGGGAGGGAGCCGGGGACAGCUGAGCGCGGUGCAAGAGGAGGUGGUGGCAUGGGGGGUGCUGACCUGUCUGGGAUUUUGAUGCUGAGGCAAAACAUCUCUGCCUUGAAGGCCUGCAUGUCCUGGCAGAGCGGGCAGCAGAAGUGGUGCAGGGCAGCGCGCAGAGCUUGGCCCUGGGGAAGGCAGAACGUGAGCUGGGGGUCCGCGCGCGUUGCCCCAGAGCCGGGGAUGAUGCCAGGGCGGCAGGGUUGGGUGACGAUGCUGUUGUGGUCUGGAGGCAAUGCUGCCUACCUGCAUGCAGUGGCGGUGGAACUGCACGCUGGUGCAGGAGGGACAGAUGAGGGUGGUGUAGCUGGGGCGUCCCUCCACCGCCUCCAAGCAGAUGGCGCACUGGGGCUGUUCCCGUUGCAGCGGCUUCACCUGCUGCGUCGGACGGUGCUGCCAGCAGAAGGACCUGCAGGAUGGAUGGAGGUGGCCGCUCAGUGCCCUGCCCCAUUCCUCCUGCAGCCCUGCGGGUGCCCACACCCACCUGUACUCCCCGAAGAACUGGGAGACACAGCCGCGUUCUCUCCCGCAGGGGUAGUGGAAGGUGCGGGAGCAUCUGCGGCAAUGGCAGCGCACCGAGGCGCCCUGCUUCCGGCAGACGCAGCAUUUCUGGGGACAGCAGUGCGGUGCUGGGCGUCAGUGCUGUGCACCCACAGCGAUGGGACUUUUCGGACAGCCAGGGCUCUGCUGGCGUCUCCCAGCCAUGUGGCACAGGGACCGAGGUGGGGACACGGCGCCCUGUUCACCUUCUGUGCCACGCGCUGCAGCUCCUGCUCAACGCUGGGGAAGAGGAAUCCGAAGAAUCCUUCCUCGUCAGCACCGCGCUGGUACAGCCCGCUGGCGUGGUACUGCAGGAGGCAACAGGGACCUGUUACUGCAUGUGGGGUGCAGCGGCUGGCACAGGGCUGGGGGCCUGGGGUUGGGGCUCACCAGGCAGUUCUCAUAGAUUCAGAGCCUCUCUUGAUGGUACAUCUCUCCAUAGAUGUCGGGGUCGUGCUCUGUCCGCUGGCACAGCCUGCACCCUGCAGUGGGGACAAGGGCAUUAUCACCCCAAGCAUGUGA
Molecule: long non-coding RNA, 1337 nt
Filed under: Phasianus colchicus (ring-necked pheasant)
Lineage: Eukaryota; Metazoa; Chordata; Aves; Galliformes; Phasianidae
Description: lncRNA (ENSPCLG00000004018.1)
Source: RNAcentral